AGAGUUGAUCGAUGGCUCAGGACGAACGCUGGCGGCGUGCUUCAUACAUGCAAGUCGAACGAGAAUCUCUAGCUUGCUAGAGAGGAAAGUGGCGGACGGGUGAGUAAAAUGUAGAGAAUCUGCCCUUAAGAUGGGGACAACAGUUGGAAACGACUGCUAAUACCCGAUAUGCGCGUAGCUGAGAUGCUAUUCGUGAAAACUCCGGUGCUUAAGGAUGAGUCUGCAUCUGAUUAGCUAGUUGGGGGUGUAAUGGACCACCAAGGCGACGAUCAGUAGCUGGUUUGAGAGGAUGAUCAGCCACAAUGGGACUGAGACACGGCCCAUACUCCUACGGGAGGCAGCAGUAGGGAAUUUUGCGCAAUGGGGGAAACCCUGAACCGCAGCAACGCCGCGUGAUUGAAGAAGCCCUUCGGGGUGUAAAGAUCUGUCAGUGGGGACGAAACUUGACGGUACCCACAGAGGAAGCAUCGGCUAACUCCGUGCCAGCCGCGGC
RNAcentral lists this ribosomal RNA (493 nucleotides) under uncultured bacterium. RNAcentral describes it as "bacterial SSU rRNA". It matches the Rfam family "Bacterial small subunit ribosomal RNA", at positions 8 to 518 of the family's 1533-position model. The record is from RNAcentral.